RNAcentral lists this long non-coding RNA (1292 nucleotides) under Strigops habroptila (Kakapo). Its description in RNAcentral is "lncRNA (ENSSHBG00005000145.1)". Lineage: Eukaryota; Metazoa; Chordata; Aves; Psittaciformes; Psittacidae. The record is from RNAcentral.
CUCCACUGUGACUUCAAGACUUCCUAAACUGUCUAAUAUCUUUUAAUACAUAUGUGAAAAAAACCCUUCUGUAUAAUUUUUGCUUUUAACAAUGUCAUUGUUUUGCAUUACUAGGAACUGGACAGUCCCUUUAGGUUAUAUGGGCUUACAAUGAAUCCACUGCUUUAUAAUAUCACCCAAGUUGUCAUUCUGUCAGCUGUUUCUGGUGUCAUCAGUGACUUGCUUGGAUUUAAUCUAAAGCUCUGGAAGAUCAAAUCUUGACAAUAUAUAAAGAAGAUGACAUAACACAGUGUUACAGAAAAACUCAUUGAUUGACAAAACUGCCUCAAAGCAGCCACUGACUCUGUAUUUCAGAUGCUACAACCUCUUCAAGGAUGUCGUUUGGAAAAUUGAAGUGUUUACAUCUGACUGUCUUGUGCAAUCUUUGUAUUUAUUUCAUCUUCUCACUGUUUUAUGUUCAUUUUAGUUGACAUUUAUAUUUUAUUUUCAAACUUAUUUGUUUAGUUUUGGAAAAAGUCAAAGUUAGAAAGGGUCAAAAACUGCGUAUCUGAGAACUUGAAAUCCUGGAAACUGCUUACACUAAAUUAGUAUAUCUGUUGUUAAAGCUGAAGCCAAUGCUGAACGUUUUUAGUUACAGUAACGCUAUAUUGAAGUCACGAUUUCUGACAGUGUGGUAAAAUUACCUAGAAUAUUUCAUUUGCACCAAUCAUUUAUGAGGGCAACGUAACAUCAACAGAUGUUUGGUUGCAAUAGAAAAAUGAGAUCUAUAAAAAAAACCAUACUGACAAUACAGUAUGAAAGGUAGCAGAAAUAUUUUCUAUUAAUAUUAGAAGCAAGUGGGAAUUUUUAAUAUUUUGAGUAAUUCCAGGAUCUAAACUCAUAUAGGCUGCAGUUUAAAUAUCCUGGGAUAUUAAUAAGGUAUUAUAUAACAAGUCAACAAGUGCUCUUUGAUAACACUUUUAUUAGAGCAAUAAUUGUAAAUGGUUACCAUGCUGUAUGAUAUUUUGAUAAAAUUAAAUAUUGUAUUUAUUUGAAAUACUGAGCUGUUCUGCGCAGCUCUGACUGUGCAUGCUCAAUAUGUGCACUUUUUAUUGUUACUUUUAAUGAGAAACUUUAUAUAUAUACAUAUAAAUGUAUAUUAAUUGGAAUAUAUUAUGGUGAACUAUGGAGCAGUAUAUAUUAUAUGUUGAAGUUGAAUAUUUAAACAAGCGAAAGAUUUACUGGUGAAAGGAAUGCUAUGGGUGACUGAGCAUAAGAUAGAUAGGUGCUCUCCUCUUGUACACUAUAGUAUA